GCUGUGGUGUCGGAGUGGUUAACGAGUUAGACUUGAAUGCCCCUUCAUGCCAUCUAAUGCCUUCGGGCGCGCAGGUUCGAAUCCUGUCCGCAGCG
This 95-nucleotide transfer RNA is filed under the name Friedmanniomyces endolithicus. It matches the Rfam family "tRNA". From Rfam's summary of the family: Transfer RNA (tRNA) molecules are approximately 80 nucleotides in length. Their secondary structure includes four short double-helical elements and three loops (D, anti-codon, and T loops). Further hydrogen bonds mediate the characteristic L-shaped molecular structure. tRNAs have two regions of fundamental functional importance: the anti-codon, which is responsible for specific mRNA codon recognition, and the 3' end, to which the tRNAs corresponding amino acid is attached (by aminoacyl-tRNA synthetases). tRNAs cope with the degeneracy of the genetic code in two manners: having more than one tRNA (with a specific anti-codon) for a particular amino acid; and 'wobble' base-pairing, i.e. permitting non-standard base-pairing at the 3rd anti-codon position. The record is from Rfam by way of RNAcentral. Lineage: Eukaryota; Fungi; Ascomycota; Dothideomycetes; Mycosphaerellales; Teratosphaeriaceae.